AGAGUUUGAUCAUGGCUCAGAUUGAACGCUGGCGGCAGGCCUAACACAUGCAAGUCGAACGGUAACAUUUCUAGCUUGCUAGAAGAUGACGAGUGGCGGACGGGUGAGUAAUGCUUGGGAACUUGCCUUUGCGAGGGGGAUAACAGUUGGAAACGACUGCUAAUACCGCAUAAUGUCUACGGACCAAACGGGGCUUCGGCCCCGGCGCAAAGAGAGGCCCAAGUGAGACUAGCUAGUUGGUAAGGUAACGGCUUACCAAGGCGACGAUCUCUAGCUGUUCUGAGAGGAAGAUCAGCCACACUGGGACUGAGACACGGCCCAGACUCCUACGGGAGGCAGCAGUGGGGAAUAUUGCACAAUGG
This 362-nucleotide ribosomal RNA is filed under the name uncultured alpha proteobacterium DCM-ATT-3. RNAcentral describes it as "bacterial SSU rRNA". It matches the Rfam family "Bacterial small subunit ribosomal RNA", at positions 8 to 374 of the family's 1533-position model. The record is from RNAcentral. Lineage: Bacteria; Pseudomonadati; Pseudomonadota; Alphaproteobacteria.